RNAcentral lists this ribosomal RNA (316 nucleotides) under Ehrlichia canis. RNAcentral describes it as "bacterial SSU rRNA". It matches the Rfam family "Bacterial small subunit ribosomal RNA", at positions 104 to 437 of the family's 1533-position model. The record is from RNAcentral. Lineage: Bacteria; Pseudomonadati; Pseudomonadota; Alphaproteobacteria; Rickettsiales; Anaplasmataceae.
GGGUGAGUAAUGCGUAGGAAUCUACCUAGUAGUACGGAAUAGCCAUUAGAAAUGGUGGGUAAUACUGUAUAAUCCCCGAGGGGGAAAGAUUUAUCGCUAUUAGAUGAGCCUACGUUAGAUUAGCUAGUUGGUGAGGUAAUGGCUUACCAAGGCUAUGAUCUAUAGCUGGUCUGAGAGGACGAUCAGCCACACUGGAACUGAGAUACGGUCCAGACUCCUACGGGAGGCAGCAGUGGGGAAUAUUGGACAAUGGGCGAAAGCCUGAUCCAGCUAUGCCGCGUGAGUGAAGAAGGCCUUCGGGUUGUAAAACUCUUUC